This 575-nucleotide long non-coding RNA is filed under the name Homo sapiens (human). RNAcentral's name for it is "HSALNT0322420". The record is from RNAcentral. Lineage: Eukaryota; Metazoa; Chordata; Mammalia; Primates; Hominidae.
ACUAUUUGAAUGUGUGUUGCUCCUUGUGGCAGGUAUACUGUUCCAAUGCCCUGGGAUCUCUGUAGUGGUCGGUACUGUAUUGAUUAUAAAUGGUGAAGUCCUAGUAUCUUGCUAGAGUGAGCUGGCCAGGAUGGUGGAGCUCUACCACCAUUUCACAGGUUAUAGACAGGGGCCACCAGGUUUCAGGAAAGCAGCAAUGACCCCUCAGUAAUAGUUGGAAAGUGUGAUAUGACACUGAGCUUCACUGUGUUGGUGAAGAAGAGCUGCAGUUUGCCUCCACCUCUGAAGAAGCACAAUACACCUUUCUGGGUUACCAAUGGGAUACUUCCCAACAGCUUUGUCAUCACAUACAAUAUUCUCAAACAAGAUCUUAAUGGCAUCUACUUUCUCCAGGAACACAGCCCCUGACCUGUGUGUGUUUGCGUAGAGAAGGCAUGCUAUGUACCCCCUAGGAUAUAGCUUUAGCCUGCAUCUCACACGCUCCAGUUUGAAGCACGUGUCCUGUCCUCUCUCGGUGUGCCUGGCUUCAUUAAGGAAUCCUCAUUUUUGUAGCACUCAUUAAAACUGACAACUUA